AGUGAACGCUGGCGGCGUGCUUAACACAUGCAAGUCAAACGAGAACGGAUUAUAGCUUGCUAUAAUUGUCAGCUAAGUGGCGCACGGGUGAGUAAUAUAUAGAUAACCUGCCCUCUAGAAAGGAAUAACAGUUGGAAACGACUGCUAAUGCCCUAUAUGCCUUUAAUACAUAAGUAUGCAAGGGAAACGCUUUAGUGCUAGAGGAUGGGUCUGUAUGGUAUCAGCUUGUUGGUGAGGUAAUGGCUCACCAAGGCUAUGACGCCUAACUGGUUUGAGAGGAUGAUCAGUCACACUGGAACUGAGACACGGUCCAGACUCCUACGGGAGGCAGCAGUGGGGGAAUAUUGCACAAUGGACGAAAGUACUGAUGCAGCAACGCCGCGUGGAGGAUGACACAUUU
RNAcentral lists this ribosomal RNA (400 nucleotides) under uncultured bacterium. RNAcentral describes it as "bacterial SSU rRNA". It matches the Rfam family "Bacterial small subunit ribosomal RNA", at positions 29 to 418 of the family's 1533-position model. The record is from RNAcentral.